Zingiber officinale is the source of this 281-nucleotide long non-coding RNA. RefSeq lists it as uncharacterized. The record is from RefSeq and is a predicted model, not a curated record. Lineage: Eukaryota; Viridiplantae; Streptophyta; Magnoliopsida; Zingiberales; Zingiberaceae. The transcript is spliced from 3 exons.
CCUCACUCAUAAGUUUAUUUUUAGCAAGCUUGCUAAACCGGAAGAGUUGAAAGAACCACCAAUUGGGUAUGGUAUUACACGAGAUGAUUGGAGUGCGUUUGUAAUCAGUCGCAUGUCGGACGACUUCAAGAAAGUAAGUGAUGAGCAAAAGAAGAGAAGAAAGCAGAAUGUAUACCCACAUCGGCUUGCCCGUAAAGGUUAUGCUCGUUUUGCUGAUGAAAUAGGAGAUGAAUUAUGUGAUGAUGAAGAGAUUAAUCGAGCGAUUAUUUGGAAGAAAGGAC